Molecule: long non-coding RNA, 349 nt
Filed under: Setaria viridis
Lineage: Eukaryota; Viridiplantae; Streptophyta; Magnoliopsida; Poales; Poaceae
Description: long non-coding RNA (SVIR_LNC002766)
Source: RNAcentral
UGUUUAUCCUCUUAAAAAGUAGCAUUCUACCAUCUCUCUAACAUGUGUUGUUUGAAGCUCACUGUUGCAAAACACCUCAUCUCUACCGACCCACCAGUACCGGGCCAAUAGGCACCAAAGCUGGUGCGACGAGGAAUGUGGGCUAGUGGAAAAGGCGUCAGCACGGGUAUUUACUAAUCCAUGACAUCGCUGAAGUUGGACCGGCAUGGAAAUAAUCCAUACCGACACUUAACUAGGCUGACACGAAUGCUUUACAUACCGGCUCACUUGGGCAUAGGUACCUCUAUAUAACUGGCCCUCGGCCAAAAUCUUAACCAUUUCUCAACCAAUCUUACUCUCUCAUACUCCC